This 804-nucleotide ribosomal RNA is filed under the name Sporisorium foveolati. Its description in RNAcentral is "LSU rRNA". It matches the Rfam family "Eukaryotic large subunit ribosomal RNA", at positions 76 to 860 of the family's 3401-position model. The record is from RNAcentral. Lineage: Eukaryota; Fungi; Basidiomycota; Ustilaginomycetes; Ustilaginales; Ustilaginaceae.
UCCCCUAGUAACGGCGAGUGAAGAGGGAAGAGCCCAAGAUUGAAAGCUGGCGUCUUCGGCGUCCGCAUUGUAAUCUCAAGAAGUGUUUUCCGCUUCGGACCAUGCCCAAGUCCCUUGGAAAAGGGCAUCAUAGAGGGUGAUAAUCCCGUACAUGGCAUGGAGCGCCCGAAGCUUUGUGAUACGCUUUCUACGAGUCGAGUUGUUUGGGAAUGCAGCUCAAAAUGGGUGGUAAAUGCCAUCUAAGGCUAAAUAUUGGGGAGAGACCGAUAGCGAACAAGUACAGUGAUGGAAAGAUGAAAAGAACUUUGAAAAGAGAGUUAAACAGUACGUGAAAUUGCCAAAAGGGAAGGGUAGGAGGUCAGAGAUGCGUCUUGGGAUUCAGCCUUGCUUUUUCGCUUGGUGUUUUUCCCAAGUUGCAGGCCAACGUCGGUUUUGGGCACUGGAGAAGGGUGGGAGGAACGUGGCACCUCUCGGGGUGUGUUAUAGCCUCCUACUGGAUACAGCGACCGAGACCGAGGACAGCAGCGUACUCGCAAGAGCGGGCCUUCGGGCACCUUUACGCUUAGGGCGUUGGCAUAAUGGCCCUCUACCACCCGUCUUGAAACACGGACCAAGGAGUCUAACAUGUAUGCGAGUCUUUGGGUGGCAAACCCAUAGGCGCAAUGAAAGUGAAUUCAGGUGGGAUCCGCAAGGUGCACCAUCGACCGAUCCUCACGUCUUUUAAGUCGUGGAUUUGAGUAAGAGCAUACCUGUUGGGACCCGAAAGAUGGUGAACUAUGCCUGAAUAGGGUGAAGCCAGAGGAA